This 76-nucleotide transfer RNA is filed under the name Pseudomonadota bacterium. RNAcentral describes it as "Proteobacteria bacterium tRNA-Val". It matches the Rfam family "tRNA". From Rfam's summary of the family: Transfer RNA (tRNA) molecules are approximately 80 nucleotides in length. Their secondary structure includes four short double-helical elements and three loops (D, anti-codon, and T loops). Further hydrogen bonds mediate the characteristic L-shaped molecular structure. tRNAs have two regions of fundamental functional importance: the anti-codon, which is responsible for specific mRNA codon recognition, and the 3' end, to which the tRNAs corresponding amino acid is attached (by aminoacyl-tRNA synthetases). tRNAs cope with the degeneracy of the genetic code in two manners: having more than one tRNA (with a specific anti-codon) for a particular amino acid; and 'wobble' base-pairing, i.e. permitting non-standard base-pairing at the 3rd anti-codon position. The record is from RNAcentral. RNAcentral also lists the same sequence under 3 other names. Lineage: Bacteria; Pseudomonadati; Pseudomonadota.
GGGCAGUUAGCUCAGUUGGCAGAGCGCCACCCUUACAAGGUGGAUGUCGCAGGUUCGACCCCUGCACUGCCCACCA